Long non-coding RNA from Peromyscus eremicus (cactus mouse), 2198 nucleotides. RefSeq lists it as uncharacterized. The record is from RefSeq and is a predicted model, not a curated record. The transcript has 3 exons. NCBI's taxonomy places the organism in Eukaryota, Metazoa, Chordata, Mammalia, Rodentia, Cricetidae.
GUGUCCAGAGCAGGGAGGGGCGGUCACAAGCAAGGACGAGCUCAAAGGACAAAGCUGGGUCAGCUUUUGUGUGCCCUUUGUUGAGAGGGGAACAUUUGUAAGAUGGCUUUGUUACCAAGGGCCCAUCCUUCUUUUAGAGCCAGAGACUAUUUUUAACUUAAGUUUUAGUGAUUCUGCAGGCCAGCUGUUUCAGGAAGAUAUGUAGGUCAGUCUGUGAUUUUUGGGAGUCAUCAUUUUUAAGGUUAGGGAGUGAGAUGGGGGAAGAGAACACAAGUAAUUCUGGAGUUCUGGAGGCGUCCACGGAGAUCUCCACCCACCCUGCGGAAAGCCACCACCCAGAUGCACCGUCUGGAGGAUCUGCAUGGGGCCUGGAGGAGGAAUAUUCUUUUGUUACACUUCGAGUGAAGUAUGUUGGUUUCUAUUCUUUUCCCCUUCACUUGCCAUCACCAAGCCAUAAUUGGGAGAAGACUGACCAGGCCCAUGUUGGGAGGCUAUGGGAGAAGGGCCCUCUUACCCACUGCACGGGAGUGAAAACUGUGACAGUAUCUACUAAGAUGAACAUGGAUUUACUUUCAGAUCCAGCAAUCUUUUUGUUCUUUGCAAGAAAUUAAUUUUUUAUGUAUGUGUGUGUACAGGUACGUGUGUGUGUGUGUGUGUGUGUGUGUGUGUGUGUGUGUGUGUGGUUUCAUCUUUACAUAUGUACAUGUGUAUACAUGUGUUUGUGUAUGUGUGUAUGUACAUGUAGGCCAAAUGGAAACCUCAGCUAUCAUUUUUCAGGAGCCAUCCACCUUGUCUUUUUGGGACAAGGUUUCUCACUUUUACCUGAAGCUCAUUGGUUCCCCUAUUCAGCUAGGCUAGCUAGCCAUUGAGCCCCAGGAAUUUACCUGUCCCUGCCUCCCUGAUGGUGGGAUUACAAAUGUGUACCAUGCCCAGCUCUAAUUUCAUAUAAAUUCUGGGGAUCAAACUCAGGUCUUUGCGUUUGUAAAGAAACAAGCACUUAUUGAGUCAUCUCUCCAGCUCAAAAUAAAGUUUUGAUUGUGACAAAAUUCAUAUAACCAUAAGAUUAACUGUUGUGUUUUAAGCGUGCAGUUCAGUAGUGUUGAGUAUAUGCACAUUGCCGUACAACCCACCUCCAGAACUUACAAACCUAUAACUGGAAUCACCCAUUGACACCAACUCCCCUUUUCCCAUCUCCCCAGGCCUCAGAAGCCUACUCUAGAUGCUUUACACAAGUGGGACCCUGCAGCGUCUGUCUGUGUGUGUCUGAUUUAUUUCACUUGGUUUUAUGUCUUCAUGGUUUAUACACAUUGUGACAUGUGCCAGGAUGCCCUCCCUUCUUCGGGUUAUAGUUCUGUGACACGUGCUGAUGUGAGUGGGAGGACCUGUUUUCUCAUAGGCACUGCCCAGGAGUUCUGGUUACCUGCCUAGGUGCAGGCUGAGCCCUUUACAGAAUCCAUUUUCCUGUAGAAGAGCUCAGAGAUGAGCCCAGUGAUGGAAUUCUGUCAUCUAAUAGUCUUGUUGGCCCUGAAGAGAGACCCCAGAGUAACAGCAUUGGGCACCUCCAAGGAGUGGAAAGCAUCACUCCCAUGAUACGCUCCUGGUUUUACAAGGGGGACUUAGAACUAUAUGCAACUAUAGGUGGUGACUUUUCAAUUUAGUCAGAGCUGGGCGAAAAGACUUCCUGGAGCUACGUGGUGUAAUGCCCUUGAUCUGUUGUGCUGGCUUAUCAACACUGCUCUGAAGAACCUAGGUUCAAAAAAUGCACAGGCUGCCUGAGGAUGUCCAGAUGGAAUUAAAUCCACUGAAGAUUAAAUGAACCAGAGUCUGGGAAUGUUUCUGAGAAGCAGUCUUGGCCAAGGAACGAACUCUGUUUCGUCUACCCUCGCCACUGGAGAUAUUUUAAAAAGUGAAGUGGGAGCAUGCAAUAUGAAAGGAUCUAAAAAUCAUUUUGUCGUCUUUGUGCUGAUGGGAGUAGGUGUACGUGGGAGGGUCAUGCAGGGAGAGGGACAUUCUGCUCAUUGUUGGAUGGGAUGCCUGUCCUUGGCAUCAAGGGGAAGAAUAUGGGGCUUACUGCUCCAACAGUUAGUUACCCUAUCAUAUAAAACCAAUGCCCCUUUAAGCAUGGGUUGGGAUAAAGCAAUUUCUCCCAUGUUACCACCUGGCUACGGACUGCCCUAAGUUACUCCAUAUUGUGUAAA